Molecule: ribosomal RNA, 325 nt
Filed under: uncultured bacterium
Lineage: Bacteria
Description: bacterial SSU rRNA
Rfam family: Bacterial small subunit ribosomal RNA
Source: RNAcentral
GAUGAACGCUGGCGGCGUGCUUAACACAUGCAAGUCGAGCGAAGCGCUUUGACGGAUUUCUUCGGAUUGAAGUCUUAGUGACUGAGCGGGCGACGGGUGAAGGUACGCGUGGUAACCGUGCCUCAUACAGGGGGAUAACAGUUGGAAACGACUGCUAAUACCGCAUAAGCGCACAGUACCGCAUGGUACGGUGUGAAAAACUCCGGUGGUAUGAGAUGGACCCGCGUCUGAUUAGGUAGUUGGUGGGGUAACGGCCUACCAAGCCGACGAUCAGUAGCCGACCUGAGAGGGUGACCGGCCACAUUGGGACUGAGACACGGCCCAA